Molecule: ribosomal RNA, 933 nt
Filed under: Aurantiosacculus acutatus
Lineage: Eukaryota; Fungi; Ascomycota; Sordariomycetes; Diaporthales; Cryphonectriaceae
Description: eukaryotic LSU rRNA
Rfam family: Eukaryotic large subunit ribosomal RNA
Source: RNAcentral
UUGACCUCGGAUCAGGUAGGAAUACCCGCUGAACUUAAGCAUAUCAAUAAGCGGAGGAAAAGAAACCAACAGGGAUUGCCCUAGUAACGGCGAGUGAAGCGGCAACAGCUCAAAUUUGAAAUCUGGCCUCGGCCCGAGUUGUAAUUUGCAGAGGAUGUUUCUGGCGAGGUGCCUUCCGAGUUCCCUGGAACGGGACGCCACAGAGGGUGAGAGCCCCGUAUGGUUGGACACCAAGCCUGUGUGAAACUCCUUCGACGAGUCGAGUAGUUUGGGAAUGCUGCUCAAAAUGGGAGGUAAAUCUCUUCUAAAGCUAAAUACCGGCCAGAGACCGAUAGCGCACAAGUAGAGUGAUCGAAAGAUGAAAAGCACCUUGAAAAGGGGGUUAAACAGUACGUGAAAUUGUUGAAAGGGAAGCGCUUGUGACCAGACUUGUGCCGGGCGGUUCAUCCGGGGUUCUCCCCGGUGCACUCCGCCCGGUUCAGGCCAGCAUCGGUUCUCGUUGGGGGAUAAGAACGGCAGGAACGUGGCCCUCCCUCGGGAGGGUGUUAUAGCCUGCCGUACGAUACCCUGAUGGGGACCGAGGUUCGCGCUCCGCAAGGAUGCUGGCGUAAUGGUCAUCAGCGACCCGUCUUGAAACACGGACCAAGGAGUCGUCCAUUAGAGCGAGCGUUUGGGUGUAAAACCCGCACGCGUAAUGAAAGUGAAAUUAGGUGAGAGCUUCGGCGCAUCAUCGACCGAUCCUGAUGUUCUCGGAUGGAUUUGAGUAAGAGUUUUAACGGACGGACCCGAAAGACAGUGAACUAUGCUUGUAUAGGGUGAAGCCAGAGGAAACUCUGGUGGAGGCUCGCAGCGGUUCUGACGUGCAAAUCGAUCGUCAAAUAUGAGCAUGGGGGCGAAAGACUAAUCGAACUGUCUAGUAGCUGGUUACCGCCG